UAACUUACCUGGCAGGGAAGCUACCAUGAUCACACAAGGUGGUUUUCCCAGGGCGAGGUUUAUCCAUUGCACUUCAGAUGUGCUGACCCCUGCGAUUUCCCCAAAUGUGUGAAACUUGACUGCAUAAUUUGUGGUAGUGGGGGAAUGUGUUCAUGCUCUCCCCUG
RNAcentral lists this small nuclear RNA (165 nucleotides) under Castor canadensis (American beaver). Its description in RNAcentral is "U1 spliceosomal RNA (ENSCCNG00000007347.1)". It matches the Rfam family "U1 spliceosomal RNA". Rfam says of the family: U1 is a small nuclear RNA (snRNA) component of the spliceosome (involved in pre-mRNA splicing). The record is from Rfam by way of RNAcentral. Lineage: Eukaryota; Metazoa; Chordata; Mammalia; Rodentia; Castoridae.